Molecule: long non-coding RNA, 1009 nt
Filed under: Gouania willdenowi (blunt-snouted clingfish)
Lineage: Eukaryota; Metazoa; Chordata; Actinopteri; Blenniiformes; Gobiesocidae
Description: lncRNA (ENSGWIG00000020435.1)
Source: RNAcentral
GGCAGAAGCAUUUCUGUCUGCACGGCGCUCUUUCAAAACCUCUAUUUCUACUAGAACCAGUCUACCUCCUCCGUCUCCAGGAGUGAGUAAACCUAUGGGUGGGAGUGGGUUUAGAAGUAAAACCCCUAGACCUCAGUUUUCAAACCCCAACCCUAGAUUUAGAGAGUUUAAAGACAAAAGCCCUCUGGUCUGUCACUCCUGUGGUCAAAUUGGUCAUUUUAGGUCAGAAUGCCCCGAGCAGCAGGUCAGUAAGACAUUCAUGUGUUUGGGCCCGCAACCUCAGUGUGUCCUAGAAGAGAUGUCUCCACCAAUUAUUGAUGAGGAAAGAACUGUCUGUGUUUUUAUAGAUGACAAACCACAUAUUGCGCUGUUAGACUCAGGCAGUAGCCGCACCCUCAUUAGAGAAGACUGUCUGCCUAAAGAUGUCACUUUUAGGGGUAAAAUGAAAAUUUGGUGUGUUCAUGGAGACAAUGUGGACUAUCCUAUUGCUAAUGUUAACAUCCAAGUUGAGGACCAGCAGUAUUUACUCUCAGUGGGUGUUAUGUCCAAACUGCCCUACCCAGUUAUACUGGGGCGGGACCUGCCCAUUUUGCAUGAAUUAAUAGCAAAAGACAGAGCAUCUUCAUUGCAGCUAUGGGCUAGGUCAGUGGCUGAAGAAGAGGAAUGUCAGGAGCUGUUCUUCCCUUCAUUAAAGGAAGACCAGUCACUACCAGAUCUCGGCCACCUCUCGUCAGACCGGAAGGAGGAGCUACACCAAAUCAUGGAUCCAGCUCUGUUCAGCACAAAACCAGGCUGCACAGAUCUCAUCCAGCAUGACAUCAGGCUCCGGGACCCCAAUCAGCAGCCCAUCAGAGACACCUCAUCCAGGAUCCCGGCUAAGCUGCUGCCUGCUGUAAAGCAAGAGGUGGAAGAUAUGCUGGCCAUGGGAGUCAUUGAACAUUCAAAAAGUGAGUGGUGUAGUCCUGUUGUUUUAGUCCCAAAGAAAAAUGACCCAAGACAAAGAUUCUGU